RNAcentral lists this ribosomal RNA (465 nucleotides) under Vreelandella stevensii. RNAcentral's name for it is "partial 16S ribosomal RNA". It matches the Rfam family "Bacterial small subunit ribosomal RNA", at positions 338 to 795 of the family's 1533-position model. The record is from RNAcentral. Lineage: Bacteria; Pseudomonadati; Pseudomonadota; Gammaproteobacteria; Oceanospirillales; Halomonadaceae.
CCUACGGGGGGCAGCAGUGGGGAAUAUUGGACAAUGGGGGGAACCCUGAUCCAGCCAUGCCGCGUGUGUGAAGAAGGCCCUCGGGUUGUAAAGCACUUUCAGUGAGGAAGAACGCCUGGUGGUUAAUACCCAUCAGGAAAGACAUCACUCACAGAAGAAGCACCGGCUAACUCCGUGCCAGCAGCCGCGGUAAUACGGAGGGUGCGAGCGUUAAUCGGAAUUACUGGGCGUAAAGCGCGCGUAGGUGGCUUGAUAAGCCGGUUGUGAAAGCCCCGGGCUCAACCUGGGAACGGCAUCCGGAACUGUCAAGCUAGAGUGCAGGAGAGGAAGGUAGAAUUCCCGGUGUAGCGGUGAAAUGCGUAGAGAUCGGGAGGAAUACCAGUGGCGAAGGCGGCCUUCUGGACUGACACUGACACUGAGGUGCGAAAGCGUGGGUAGCAAACAGGAUUAGAUACCCCUGUAGGC